This 301-nucleotide ribosomal RNA is filed under the name uncultured bacterium. Its description in RNAcentral is "partial 16S ribosomal RNA". It matches the Rfam family "Bacterial small subunit ribosomal RNA", at positions 509 to 809 of the family's 1533-position model. The record is from RNAcentral.
CAGCCGCCACGGUAAUACGUAGGGUGCAAGCGUUAAUCGGAAUUACUGGGCGUAAAGCGUGCGCAGGCGGUUCGUUAAGACAGAUGUGAAAUCCCCGGGCUUAACCUGGGAACUGCAUUUGUGACUGGCGGGCUAGAGUAUGGCAGAGGGGGGUAGAAUUCCACGUGUAGCAGUGAAAUGCGUAGGGAUGUGGAGGAAUACCGAUGGCGAAGGCAGCCCCCUGGGCCAAUACUGACGCUCAUGCACGAAAGCGUGGGGAGCAAACAGGAUUAGAUACCCCGGUAGUCCCUGUCUCUUAUAA